RNAcentral lists this long non-coding RNA (462 nucleotides) under Sorghum bicolor (sorghum). RNAcentral describes it as "long non-coding RNA (SBIC_LNC001232)". Lineage: Eukaryota; Viridiplantae; Streptophyta; Magnoliopsida; Poales; Poaceae. The record is from RNAcentral.
UUACUGCACAAGUUGUACUCCAAAGUUAGUACUCUAAACCUAUUACAAAGUGUACUCCAUCAUCCAAAGAUCUACAUGGCAUACAAAUGAUCAUCACUGUUUGGAAUCAUCGUCUCGUUAGGAUUAUAGUGGAACUCGCCGCUUGGAUUUAUGACUUGUUCCCAAAGAAAUCCUGCUAUUGCCUCUUGUAUUGCUUGGAGUUAUUCAUGUUGCAUGAGUUUUUGCUUCAACCAUUCAGUCUUCAAUUUGAAUUAAAAAAAUGUAUUAGUUAUAUCAAGAUUAUCAAUAGUAAUUUGAGAGAAAAUGAAAAAAGACAUGUGUUACAUACUCUGAGGUAUUCUUGAGGAAUUCUAUAUGUUUGUACCAUAAUAUACUUGCAAACAUAGUAUCCACAUAAGUUGUUACCCAGUUCUUGUCUCAAAAUUAUUGUAGGAUGUAAAGAUUCAUCUCGUAAAAAAGAUA